This 4472-nucleotide long non-coding RNA is filed under the name Phaseolus vulgaris (common bean). RNAcentral describes it as "long non-coding RNA (PVUL_LNC004835)". Lineage: Eukaryota; Viridiplantae; Streptophyta; Magnoliopsida; Fabales; Fabaceae. The record is from RNAcentral.
UCAAUAAUUUCAUUGGAUUUUCAAUCAUCGAAAAUGAAUUUAGAAAUAUCUUGUCAAUACAUUGUCACUUUUGUUUACCAUCUAGCACACAUAAAAUUUUUAGUAUGUACUAUGAUUAGAGUCUCACAAUCAUACAAUCAGUUCAUGGGAAUGACAGUCAUUCACCAAUGGGAUCAAAUUUGGUGACACUGGAUUUGUGACAUUAGUCAGCAGAUAUCCAAUCUGAAAGAAAAACACAGGUAAAUUAAAAUAUCAACUGAAUUCAAUGCAAUACAGGAUAAAUACCAAGAAUAGUUAUGAACCAACUAAACUCAUAACAUACAUGUGCAGACAUUUACUAUAAGUUAUUUAGAUAUUCAAGAAAAAAAAACAAUGACAAAAAUUCUAAAAUUACACACUUCAAAUAUAGCUUGCGACUUGUCAAGAGUUUAUCUCAUCUCAAAUCCUAAGAAAGACAAAUGAAGUGUUGAUAGUCAGAACAACUAAUAGGGGGAGUAUAGGUGGACGGUAGUUUUUUUUUGCAGAAUAAAGGGGUAAUUUGUCCUCACUUCCUGUUCUUGACAAGUACACUGUCUUUCUUAAUGUCAUACUAACUAAAAAACUAAGAAAAAAGAACAACAAAGAAUGCCUCAUUGGCCUUCAUUGGUCAUAGAUUGAGAAAUGCACACAAUAUCAAAGACAUGGCAGGAAUAAAUCAAAUAGUGCUAUGUGAUCAAUCAAAUAGUUGCACAACACAGAAGUGAGAGAUGUACCCUUCUUACAAAAAUAUAAGAAACAUUAUAGUACCAAAUAUUAACUACAUUCAACUUAUGACCAAAACUUGUACAUUAUUUUUUACCUGUUAUUUUCAAAUCAGAAUCCCAAUUUCAUUUUAAUAAUUUCUUUGAUCCUUUAAUGCACACAUUUGGUUUAGAAUUUAGUGAAUGUAUCUUUGUUUUUUCUCUACUUAUUUAACUAUGGUGUGAAUGAUGAUGAUAAACAAAUCUUGAAUUAAAGAAAAUUCUGUGAAUAAGAGUGAGUAGGCAGGCAUGACACCACAAAAGGGUUCUAACAAGAAAAAGGGAAGUUUUGUCAUCCAUUUUAGGGUGUGUAGGUGAAUGAAAGAAGAUAGCAGUGGAGCAAAACUUAUUGCAACAAUAUCAACAAUUGGGUUUAGAAAAAGAAAAAUAAAUGCUUGAACUGACUAUGCUUUUAAAUUUAAAUUUACCUCAUUUUUUAGGACAUUCCUGUCAAUGCUUUUAUCUGUCACUUAAAUGAAUGAUUAAUGUAAAUGAAGCAACAAUGUUACAUUUCUGAGGCAAGCAAACAGUGGCUGCAGUAACUUCCUCCACAUGGAAGGGCAAUGUGACUCCAGGAAGCUAUAGGUGGCCACAUGUUUGUUCAUAUUUUCAAAAUCAUAUGAAAUACAAUGAUGUGACACUCAAUCAAAUGCUAAAACUAUUUGCUCAAGGUGUUUGAUUCCAAUAAAGCAAUUGUAAACAAGAAAGCAAAUUGAAAGAAGAAACUAUGAAAACAAAUAGAUGGAAUCAUCAUCAACUAUAAUAAAGAAUAUAAAAAAAAUCUGAUUACCUAAUCAACUUUAAUUCGUCCCAUCAAAAUGAAGCUUUGGUUUCCGUUCUCUUUUUCCAAUCUGUUUCUUUUGAACACCACUGAUUUCAAUACUUGUGUUAGAUGGAGUUCAUUAACAAAACAAUAAUGAAACAAAAUAAACAUAUAAAACUAUGAUCUUAUAAUAAAUUACACUAAUAAUCUUUCUUCUACUGUACUGAAAUGUAGUUUUCCUCUUAGUCUGGCUGCUCUAUUGAAAUAAAGUUCUAUUGCCCGAUUCAAAUAUCAUAAUUAAGUCAAUCAAUAUUAAAUUACUUAAAAUAUUAUUCCAAACCAUUUAAAUACCUAGUAGAUGUUCUAGGUGCUACCACCCAAUUUUUGUCCAUGCUUAUGUUGUCUUGAAGCUAAAAAUGAAAUACCUGAUAAAAAAAAUGAAAAAUUAUCUAUUAAUAACAAAAUUAUCUAUGAACUUUGGAAUUAAAGGUGAGUAACUAUUCAACAAUUUAAAUUCUAAGAAUAAAAAAAGAUCAAAACUUGAAUACAAGAUACAACCAACAUGAUGUGAAAUAACAAUGAAGCAUUGAAAGUAGGAAAAAUGGUACCUCGGUAGAGGAUAAGGAAGAUAAAAAUUAGCCUGUCUUUUACUCAAUCCAAUUAAACCAUUCAAUCUAUUUUUGAGAAUUAAGUAAAGUUUUGAGAUUCAUGAAAGGCGUUUUACAUUUUUUUCCAAUUCUUUUAUUUUUGUAAACAUGUUUCAAAAAUUAGAAAAUAUAAGAUAUAAUAUUUUAAACUUUAAUAUUUAAAAUUCAGUAUACGUAAAUUAUGAUGACACAAUAUUCCAUUUCCAUAUAUAAUCAUGUUAGGUCGAGUUAGAAUAGUUAAAAAGAUCAUAAUAUAUCAACAUGUUUUUAUAAAGAUGAAUGAUUACAUAUCCUUGUUGAAACAGAGGAAAUACUUUGAAAGCCUAUUACUGGGGUCGGCCUUAGAUGCAAUUUUCAUGCUAAGUUUCUAGCACUUCUACAUAUUUUAGACUUUGAAAAAAAAACACUUUUUCACAAAAGGUAUCAUGCAUGUGCCUUUUUUUAUUCAUUCAACAGGUUUUGCCAAUUUAUUUACUCCAUAAAAAUCAUUUUCAUUUUAUAUUUAAAACUGUUUCUCAUAUUUCACGCACAUCUAAUCCUUUUUUUUUGUCAAUACCGUUAAAAUUUGCUCAAUUACAUAUAAAGAAUUAGAUUUGGAUUCACUUCAUGGUAGUUAUGAAUUGAUGUUAAAUUAAACUUCACGUGAUUAUAAUAAUGUAACAUGUUGUUACCAAAUUAUAUUAUUUAGUUACAUCAAGUGUGUUGUACCUAAUUGUAUUAUAUAUGACUUUUAUAUACCGUAACACUCUUAUUUUCAUCCUUUUAUGUUGUUAUCUUCUUCUCUAAUUUCUUUCAUCACUUCACACUCUCUUUAUACGUACCAAUUACACGUUUGCAAUAAUAUUACUAUAUUUUUUUAGUCUAUGAUUUGUCACAGAAUCACUAAAAUUGAGUUGAAUUUGUCAAAUUAAUUUAUGAGUAUAGACAUACUGGUAACUGUUAGGCAUGCAUAGUUGAUAAAACCCCUUGAAUUUUUUUUAAAAAGUUUGGUUCCUCUACUUAUUCUGAAUGAUAUGUAUCCAAUAUUGUGGUAUGGUUGAGCUCUAUGACAAAGUUAAAAUUCAGUUCCAUGGUUAUCAAAAUUGUACACACAGCGAUAAAGGUUCCCCUCUCUUGAUUACACCAUCCACCGAAUCUAAAUAACCAUGUUACUUAGAAUUCCAUGGAGUGGUUUUUGCCAAUGUUUCAGAAACUAUUUCUAUCAGUACUGGACAUGCCACUGGUUUCGGUACUAGCUAUCUAGGGUAGACUUUAAUUUGCUAAACACAACACUGACUAUAGGCACUGCAGCGAGAAAUUAAUUGAGUCCUGUUGUAUACCAGCUAGCUAGGCUCAUUAUUUCACAUGCAUAACUCUCUUAUUUGCUAUGCUAUCCUUAAAUCCAACAUGUUACAUAUUCUCUUUCAUUAACAACAUUAUUUCUAGUUUUCCACGAAGACAUCCUAAUAUUGAAAAUCAUUGAAAAGGCAGGGAAAACAUGGAGAAAGAGAUUAUAAAUAGCAGCUGGAACAGUGAUGUUCCGAGACAUACCUUCAGUUGUAGUCUUAAAUAGAGAUCCACAGUUAUCAUUUGAGCAAGAGCUAGAAAUGGAGCAGGGUUAACUGCAUCAAGAAAUAAAUAAAAAGCAAAUCAACAAAAUCUCCAAUUACUACUAGAAGAAAGGAUCUAUCAAAUAAAAAUAAUUAAUAUUAUCAUAUCACUGCCAAAUUAGAAUCAACACGUCUUGUACCAAAUCAAGGAGAUAAUCACUAUUUAUUAGCAUUUUAAUACUGAAAUCAAACACAAAUUAAUCAUAAAAAAUGAGAUCGCAAUAAUCACCUACUAAAAAAACACUAAUCCUAGGUUCAAAUGUGAGAAAUAAAAAUUGUAAAUGAAAACAAUAACAAAUUGAAGCGUUUGAACAAUAGAGGAAAUCUUACCUCCGAGAGAAUAGAAUGAGACAACGCACAUAGCAGUGACACACACGCACGUAGCAGUAGCAACGACACACACACGCACGUAGAAGUAGUCGUUUGACCGAGCGAACAAGCAGGACGUAGAUGAAGCACGGAGAACAGAGUGAAACCCUGAAGAAAAGGAAGGGCACUGUGAGAGUGAGGAAGAGGAACGACGAGACUGAGAAAGUGACGAAGAGGAAUGUGAGAGAUUGAGAUUGAGAGGGAGGAAGAGGAACGUGAGAGACUUAGAUUGAGAUUGAGACUGAGAUUGAGAGAGUAAACAGUGAGGGCAAAACAGUGAGAAUUAGUGACUUCGAAAGAGUAACUUCGAAAAAACACUAUUGAG